Molecule: ribosomal RNA, 434 nt
Filed under: uncultured Oscillospiraceae bacterium
Lineage: Bacteria; Bacillati; Bacillota; Clostridia; Eubacteriales; Oscillospiraceae
Description: bacterial SSU rRNA
Rfam family: Bacterial small subunit ribosomal RNA
Source: RNAcentral
ACGGGAGGCAGCAGUGGGGAAUAUUGGGCAAUGGGCGCAAGCCUGACCCAGCAAUGCCGCGUGAAGGAAGAAGGCUUUCGGGUUGUAAACUUCUUUUAAGUGGGACGAUAAUGACGGUACCACUUGAAUAAGCUCCGGCUAACUACGUGCCAGCAGCCGCGGUACUACGUAGGGAGCACGCGUUAUCCGGAUUUACUGGGUGUAAAGGGCGUGUAGGCGGGACAGCAAGUCAGAUGUGAAAGCACGAGGCUCAACCGCGGCUCUGCAUUUGAAACUGCUGUGCUUGAGUGCUGGAGAGGCGAACGGAACUCCUAGUGUAGCGGUGAAAUGCGUAGAUAUUAGGAAGAACACCAGUGGCGAAGGCGGUUAGCUGGACAGUAACUGACGCUGAGGCGCGAAAGCGUGGGUAGCAAACAGGAUUAGAUACCCUGGUA